UACAUGGGGUGCAAACGUUGCUCGGAAUUAUUGGGCGUAAAGCGCACGUAGGCGGUUUGUUAAGUCGGAUGUGAAAGCCCACGGCUCAACCGUGGAAGCGCAUCCGAAACUGCUUCGCUCGAGUCUCGGAGAGGAAGGUGGAAUGCUUGGUGUAGAGGUGAAAUUCGUAGAUAUCAAGCAGAACACCUGCGGCGAAGGCGGCCUUCUGGACGAUGACUGACGCUGAGACGCGAAAGCGUGGGGAGCAAACAGG
RNAcentral lists this ribosomal RNA (253 nucleotides) under uncultured bacterium. RNAcentral's name for it is "partial 16S ribosomal RNA". It matches the Rfam family "Bacterial small subunit ribosomal RNA", at positions 524 to 776 of the family's 1533-position model. The record is from RNAcentral.